GCUGGUGUAAACAGUUAAUGUGCUUGGCUGCCAACCAAGUGGUUGGAGGUUAGAAUCCACCCAGAGGCA
RNAcentral lists this transfer RNA (69 nucleotides) under Loxodonta africana (African savanna elephant). It matches the Rfam family "tRNA". Rfam says of the family: Transfer RNA (tRNA) molecules are approximately 80 nucleotides in length. Their secondary structure includes four short double-helical elements and three loops (D, anti-codon, and T loops). Further hydrogen bonds mediate the characteristic L-shaped molecular structure. tRNAs have two regions of fundamental functional importance: the anti-codon, which is responsible for specific mRNA codon recognition, and the 3' end, to which the tRNAs corresponding amino acid is attached (by aminoacyl-tRNA synthetases). tRNAs cope with the degeneracy of the genetic code in two manners: having more than one tRNA (with a specific anti-codon) for a particular amino acid; and 'wobble' base-pairing, i.e. permitting non-standard base-pairing at the 3rd anti-codon position. Lineage: Eukaryota; Metazoa; Chordata; Mammalia; Proboscidea; Elephantidae. The record is from Rfam by way of RNAcentral.